This is a long non-coding RNA of Falco peregrinus (peregrine falcon), 5202 nucleotides long. RefSeq lists it as uncharacterized. The transcript has 6 exons. The record is from RefSeq and is a predicted model, not a curated record. NCBI's taxonomy places the organism in Eukaryota, Metazoa, Chordata, Aves, Falconiformes, Falconidae.
GUGUUUAUAUCCUCUCUCAUGCCUUGAAACAUCUGUCUUAGGAGCAGACAAGAAGCAAACAAAGAAUGACCUUUGAACAGCCCAGUGUUACGUGUUUUAGUUGGGAAGGAGUUGAGGCUGUGGCAAAAGCUGAGUACAGCAUACACUACUGGAUUGCAAAGGAGUAUUUCAGUACUUCUGAAAUUGGCAGAGCACUUCUUAGGUCUGAAGAGAGUUAUGUUGGUUUGUUUAGGGAUUGGAUCUUGGAUCGUGUGUUUCAUGGUAAGGAAAGCAAUGGUUUCCCACAUACCUGGAUUGAAUCUUGGCAGCAGUGAGACCUUUCAUACCAAAGCUGCCAGAGCUGUACAUCCUUGAAGACACUUUCGUAGAAAGAAGACUGGAGUAAUGUGGCCAAUAGCAAAAUAUGAGUAUUCAUGGAGGCCUUCUGCUGAAGAGAAAUGUUCUGGGUACCGUGAACUGCCACAGCAGCAUACAUCUGGAGGAGCAGGAGAUGCACAACAAUCUCCAUCUACUUAGCCCAGCAGAAACCUAGCGAGAGGCCUGUUUAUCAUUUGGACUCAUCGCUUCGCGUUGUAUCUGUGCUUUACAGAAGGCUUCCACAAGCCAAAGCAGGCAUUGGGACAAACCUGCAACAACAUCAGGCUUCAGAGUUGGUAUGAAAGACAGGCAUAAAGGGGAUGAAAAAGGAUAGUCAUACCCCAGGUAAGGGUGUUGCCUUAAAAAUGUAGAUAUGGUAAUUAUUUUAUGUUUGUGGACUGUAGCUUGAAUAUACAGACAUAAGAGAUACUGUCUAUCGUAUUGAUGCCUAUGCAUAUUACAUUUUCUGUAUGUGCUUCUAGAAUUAUAUGAUAAUGUCAAGUUAUGAAAUAAGUAGUAUUAAGCUUGAAAAGCAAACUUCCAUAUCCUGCAGUGAUUCGGGGCAUCCCCAAAACAAACUCUGCUCAUGCUUUGUGAUCCCUCUGUGGUAUGUAUAUCUCAGGUGGAAGGUGAGUUCGUCUGACAGUUGUAAUCUCAAACCCACCUAACCUGAAAGCUGUUUGCAUGUGCAAAUUAUUUUGUAGUUUAGGACUAAUUAUAGACUAAGUAUUUCAUCCAAAUAGAAUAGCUUCCCUGCCCCACCCCCCAGAUUUUUUGCUAAAACACUUUAUACUUCCGCAGGAUUCCAGUACUGAUGAUGUAUAUCUUUGUGUGAGGCAUUGUCUGCUUUCUCACAAGGAGGACAAGCAUGAAUGUGAACUGCAUAAGGCCCUUUAUAAAAAUAUAUACAAAAAACUAAAAAUUUAAAAAAUCCUCCACCAAUAACCAGGAAUGCAAUGCCAUCCCCUUUGUUUUUAUCACAUAGUACUUCUACUCUAACCAGUAGACAAAAUAUUAAUUUUUAUCUUGAUGUUUCUCUGGCAGCUCUCAUCAAUUAGAUAGUUUUGCAAGGAAGCUUUUUUAAGCUAUUAAAUGGUUGUUUCACAGCCCAAGAUCGGUUGCCACUGGAUAGUAUUGCCAUAAGGAAAAUAAGAGCUUCCCAUUUGAAAAGGCCUUUUUCCCUCCUGUCAUCCCUUCAACCGGAGGAGACAACACUUCCCUUUCCACUAAAAAAAAAAAUUUUCCAUUGCCUGGUGCCUGAAAAUUAGAAUUCAACAAGGCUUAUGGAAGUACAGCUAGCUGUAGGUUAUCUGAUGGAGGUUUAUCUCUGUACACUGCUUUGUUAAAUGUUUUUACACGCCCUGUUUGGGUUUCCUGCCAGCACAGCCUCCUUCCCUGUCCUCCUCUGCCCUGUUGGCAUGUAAAUUGACGCCCACGCCAGGUGACUUUCUCUGGCCUGUGAUGUACUGAAGGUCAGAUUAAAUGCUGACAAUAGUGCCGUCUGGCUUGAAAAAUAGAUGGUAUAACUCAUGCUGCUGUUCACGUCCCUUUUCAGUUUUGUUUCUGGUGUCUUGGUUUUAGCUAGAAGUGUGUAGCACAUUUAAUAAACAUACCAGUAUCUCAACAUAUAUAUUAUGUAUGCAACAAAAACACCCAUGCUGACUACCUCAGAAAUUGCUGACUGGUCUCAGCAUAGCCCAGAACAGAAUGUAUUUAAGUUUCUAAUGUAGUCUGAAAGACAAAUUCUAUUAGUAAAUGAACAACAGAGAAGAAACAUCGGAGUGAUUUGUUGCAGGAGGCUGUUUUCUUGUGGAAACAAGGGAAUAUUAUAGCACUUGCUGAAGCUUAGAGCAACUCCUGGAUCCUCACUGAAAUCAAGCUUUGUGAUGAAAAGGCUUGUAGCUUGUUGGGCCAAGAGACGGGGAUUAUAAGAAUAUUCAUGACUCCUGAGAAUCAGCAGGUUGCACUCCUGAGCCCUGGUGCCCACUGAUGGCUCAUUUUUGUCACGAGAGAAGGUGUUGGCUGUAUCAUCAUAUCAUCGGCAAGCCUUGAAAAGCCUCUGAGCCUAGGACUCUCCAAGACACACAGAUGUCUUCAGCUGGGCUGGGCCCCUGUUAGUAGGUGCGUUCAGCUCCAGGAUGAAGACAAGUUGAAGCUGUAUUUGUUCCUUUCCUGACACAGCUAUCUAAGCAGGUUUGUGUCAGGAUGAACAGAGUGCUCCAGAGCUCCAGGAUGCAAUUGAGCACAAGCCGGAAUAAGACAAGAGCCUUAUUGAGCCUGUCCCAGCCAGGAGUCUGUCCCCGCCAAGCCCGUCGGGCACACACCAUCAUCCCCUGUGUGGGCAGAGCACGUGGCGGCUGCUGGAUGCAGGGAUGGGGCAUGCUGCAUUUGUGUUACAGACAGAGCUGGAGCAAUAGGCUUUUGUAUAGCAGAAAUAGCCCACAGAGUCCCAGAAUUACUUCCCACUGGCUUCCCUUUGGUUCAUCAGUUUCAGUAUCUUGGUGGGUAGAGUCAGCAACGUGUCUUAGAAGCCAUCUGUUACUCUGGCCUGGGAGAGAAGGCUGAAAUACUCAAAAGUGGACAGUGUAGGGAGAAAAAUCUCUACAAAGCAGCAGAUUUUUUUUUCCAUUUUAUGGAGCAUAUUUUCACAUUUCCACUAGUCUAAACUCUCCAGGAAUUUUUGCAGGAACAGGCUCAGUUUCAUGUUAAGUCUCUUGCUUUUCCAGCUUUUUAUACGGAGACUACUGCAACAGAAUUGGAAGACAGUAUUAUAUGUGUAAGGACUAAGUCACUAUUUACCUGCAUGACUUUAACCCGAUUAACAGUGUCACUAAAUCUUUGUGCUCUGUGUUGCAGGCAGUGCUGUGAUGGCAGUGUGUGUGAAUACACUGGAUAGCUUGAAACUGGGAACUGUUGCUAGUGAGCUUGUCACUGUGGCACAGAGCACAGCACAGUGCUCCCAAAAUGCAAGGUAAUCACCAGGACAGAUGGCCCAGGAGGACCAUCAUCUGACCCUGGUGAUACCUGAGCUAGAGAGUUAGACAGCAGCAUGAGUGUCCCUGCACCUCCACGUAGUCAUGUAGGCAGCUUCGCCAUAGACACGCUCUGUGUAACUACUUUGAACUCUGUUCCCAAGCAUGAAAGAGAGAGGUUUUCUUAUCUAAAUACUCAAAUCCAUCCUCACAUAAGGACAGGAGACAGGUUAGUGUGGAUCACAGGAAUGAAAAGCUUCUCCCAAACUUCCAUCCACCAGAUGCUCCACUAGUUUUCUUGCACGUACCUAGAAUCACCCCUCCUUUCUGCAGUGCGCAGCUCUCCAGCUCCUUACAAACUCAGACAAGUGCUUGGGUACUUCUGUUCUGCAGCAGCUGGAAAAAUAACAGGCAUUUCCCAUGAGAAGUUGUGAAGUAAUUAAAAAAAUACAGAGAAAUUAAACAAUAAAUGGAUAAAAAUAUAAUACUUUCCCAUGAAACAAAAGAAAUGUUGUGUUAUAACCAACCAUUCUUCAUCAGAUAAUACUGCUGAUGUAAGAACUCCUGCCAGCUGGCAUGUAUCCCAUCUUUCAUUUCCACCAGGAAGUGGGGAGAGAGAAGGAAAUGGUUGGGAUCCUCCAGGAACAUGCUGACAUGGAAAACCCCACCACCUUUGUACUGGAAAGAUGCUGCAAUCACCUCUUCUAAAACAACUUUAAAUAAGAGCUGGGGAGAAUUAUCCACAAGGCACAGAAUUCUUGUAAACUUUGCUAUCUGGCCAGGUGGGGAGACAUUUUUCUCCUCUAUUUAACUUGCCUGUUAUUUCCUCCUUCUGGCAUUUAUUAAUCUGACUGGUUAACCAUUGAGUCCAGCCUGAAAACAGAUCUCAUCACAAAUCCUGUUCUCCAUGGUGGACUCGGAAAAGGCUCUGGCUGAACAAACUCACUUCUCCUGUCUUUACUCUGAAGGGGAGAAUUAAAUGCUGAAGGCAGAUGUUUACCAUGAAAUUCACACUCAAGGUUUCCUGUGUGGAGCAGCUGAUAAUGCUAGGGACACUAGGAUUUCCAUUUGUAGACAGGCUCUGUUUUGACAGAGCCCUUCACGAUUCAUCAACAAUUCGGGUGCUUCUGGGCUAUGCAAUAUUCAUUGCACCCAUCCCACUCCUGAUAAACAGAUUCAGGAGCCCUAAUCACAGGGGUAGUAUAUUCAAUAACCAUUGCUCUUUAAUUGUUUCUGAUUUUUAUCUCUUUUUUCCCCCCAAGUUGUUUGGUUUUCUUUUCCUGCAGGAGGAUCAGUGUUUCUCUUUGAACCGACUUUUCCUUUCAACAUUUAUCAUUUGGGACUGCUCAAGUGCUGUUUUAGUGCAGAAGCUGCUUGCAAACUAUUUGUAGCAGCUGCUUUUUUCGAAGUUUGCUAUUUGCAGUGUGUGAUCGCUCACUUAAACCACCCGACAUUGCCCUUCCUUUCCCAGGCCUCCUGCCUCUGGUUGUCUCGUGUCUGACCCUGACAUCCAGCACGCUGCAGGACCACGAAGCCUUAAUCCCGGACUGUGAGCAGCAUGCUGUGAGUGACUAGUGAGAGGUGAACCACAACCAGGUGUGAUGUUCCCAGCUCCAGCGGGACUGUCUGCACGCCCAGGGACUGGCCUUUCUGCCUGGCAGUUUUGCAAAGACAGCCUCUGAGCCCUUGGAAGAUAUCUGAACACGUGUUUGGGAUAGAGGAACAAGUGAAAAAUAGCAUGAGGCAAAAAGAGAAAGUGAAGCUACAGACUGUUUCCAUCAGCAGAGUUGUCAUGUCCUAUGGUGUGUGUGUGGUUUUAUGUAACGUGGGGAUAAUUACUGGGUGGCUCUUUCCAUUUGCAUCUGAUUAUUAA